UGGGGAAUUUUUCGCAAUGGGGGCAACCCUGACGAAGCAACGCCGCGUGGGUGAUGAAGUAUCUUGGUACGUAAAGCCCUUUCGACGGGAAAGAAAGCCGCAAGGUUUGACGGUACCCGUGGAAGAAGCCCCGGCUAACUCCGUGCCAGCAGCCGCGGUAAUACGGGGGGGGCAAGCGUUGUUCGGAAUUACUGGGCGUAAAGGGCGCGUAGGCGGUUUGCUAAGUUGGGUGUGAAAACUCUGGGCUUAACCCAGAGCCUGCACUCAAAACUGACAGGCUAGAGUUCUGGAGGGGAUAGCGGAAUUCCUGGUGUAGCGGUGAAAUGCGUAGAUAUCAGGAGGAACACCGGUGGCGAAGGCGGCUAUCUGGACAAAAACUGACGCUGAGGCGCGAAAGCUAGGGGAGCAAACAGGAUUAGAUACCCCCGUAGUCC
This 434-nucleotide ribosomal RNA is filed under the name uncultured bacterium. RNAcentral describes it as "bacterial SSU rRNA". It matches the Rfam family "Bacterial small subunit ribosomal RNA", at positions 355 to 796 of the family's 1533-position model. The record is from RNAcentral.